RNAcentral lists this ribosomal RNA (481 nucleotides) under uncultured bacterium. RNAcentral describes it as "partial 16S ribosomal RNA". It matches the Rfam family "Bacterial small subunit ribosomal RNA", at positions 28 to 507 of the family's 1533-position model. The record is from RNAcentral.
GAUGAACGCUGGCGGCGUGCCUAACACAUGCAAGUCGAACGGAGAUUACGGACGGAAGUUUUCGGAUGGAAGACUGUCAUUCUUAGUGGCGGACGGGUGCGUAACGCGUGGGCAACCUGCCCUAUACAGGGGGAUAGCAGCUGGAAACGGCUGGUAAGACCGCAUAAGUCGGUUAAAUCGCAUGUUUUGAUCGGGAAAUGAGCAAUCAGGUAUAGGAUGGGCCCGCGUCCGAUUAGCCAGUUGGCAGGGUAAAAGCCUACCAAAGCGACGAUCGGUAGCCGGACUGAGAGGACGGACAGCCACAUUGGGACUGAGACACGGCCCAAACUCCUACGGGAGGCAGCAGUGGGGGAUAUUAGACAAUGGAGGCAACUCUGAUGCAGCGACGCCGCGUGAGUGAAGAAGUAUUUCGGUAUGUAAAGCUCUAUCAGCAGGGAAGAUGAUGACGGUACCUGACGAAGAAGCCCCGGCUAACUACGUG